UGCAGUCGAGCGGUACAGAUCCAGCUUGCUGGAUUGCUGACGAGCGUGCGGACGGGUGAGUAAUGCAUAUGAAUCUGCCCGAUAGUGGGGGAUAACCUGGGGAAACCCAGGCUAAUACCGCAUACGUCCUACGGGAGAAAGGGGGCUCCGGCUCCCGCUAUGGGAUGAGCCUAUGUCGGAUUAGCUAGUUGGUGAGGUAACGGCUCACCCAGGCCACCAUCCGUACCUGGUCUGAGAGGAUGAUCAGCCACAUCCGGACUGAUACACCGCCCGAACUCCUACGGCAGGCACCAGUGGGGAAUAUUGGACAAUGGGGGAAACCCUGAUCCACCCGUGCCGCGUGUGUGAAGAACGCCCUCGGUUUGUAAAGCACUUUCAGCGAGGAAUAACGCCUAGCGGUUAAUACCCGCUAGGACAGACAUCACUCGCAGAAGAAGCACCGGCUAACUCCGUGCCAGCAGCCGCGGUAAUACGGAGGGUGCAAGCGUUAAUCGUAAUUACUGGUCGUAUUGCGCGCGUAGGUGGCUUGAUAAGCCGGUUGUGAAAGCCCCGCGCUCAACCUGCUAACGGCAUCCGGAUCUGUCUGGCUAGAGUGCAGGAGAGGAAGGUAGAAUUCACGGUGUAGCGGUGAAAUGCAUAGCAGAUCGGGAGGAAUACCAGUGGCGAAGGCGGCCUUCUGGACUGACACU
Molecule: ribosomal RNA, 689 nt
Filed under: Vreelandella aquamarina
Lineage: Bacteria; Pseudomonadati; Pseudomonadota; Gammaproteobacteria; Oceanospirillales; Halomonadaceae
Description: bacterial SSU rRNA
Rfam family: Bacterial small subunit ribosomal RNA
Source: RNAcentral